Molecule: long non-coding RNA, 3762 nt
Filed under: Homo sapiens (human)
Lineage: Eukaryota; Metazoa; Chordata; Mammalia; Primates; Hominidae
Description: HSALNT0075662
Source: RNAcentral
CAAAAGAAGUGAAAACGCCCUGCCCCGCCUUAACUGAUGACAUUCCACCAUUGUGAUUUGUUCCUGCCCCACCUUAGCUGAGUGAUUAACCCUGUGAAUUUCCUUCUCCUGGCUCAGAAGCUCCCCGACUGAGCACCUUGUGACCCCCGCCCCUGCCCACCAGAGAACAACCCCCUUUGACUGUAAUUUUCCAUUACCUUCCCAAAUCCUAUAAAACGGCCCCACCCCUAUCUCCCUUCGCUGACUCUCUUUUCGGACUCAGCCCGCCUGCACCCAGGUGAAAUAGACAGCCAUGUUGCUCACACAAAGCCUGUUUGCUGGUCUCUUCACACUGACUCGAGUGAAAUUUGGUGCCGUGACUAGGAUCGGGGGACCUCCCUUGGGAGAUCAAUCCCCCGUCCUCCUACACUUUGCUCUGUGAGAAAGAUCCACCUACAACCUCAGGUCCUCAGACCAACCAGCCCAAGAAACAUCUCACCAAUUUCAAAUCCGUGAUAGAUCACAACAAGAGAUCAUGAAGAGGGCAUGGCCGCCAUGUCAUUCUGGAGAGAGACAGAGUAAAACAAAGAAGGCAAUAACCAGACACGGGACUGAGGCCAUCCAUGACCAGCCAGCCCUAGCCAACACACAACACACAAGCUGAUCACAGAUGCAUGAGUAAGCCUGAGACCAGCCAAGACCAGCCUAGAAUAGAACUGCUCAGCAGCAAUAAAAACUAAAUAAAUUGUUACCUUAAGCUACUUUUAGAGCUAUUUGGAAGUGUAUUUUUGUGCAGCUAACAUUUACUAGCAGAUAAAAUGGUGAUUGUUUAUCUCUGUUUUAUUGAUGUUUUAAGGAAAUUGUUUCUAUUAAAAGGAAAUAUCUGGUCUUUGUCACGUUAAAUCAGGUUUAGCCUGAAGUUGUCUCCUUAAAUUUGCGGCACAACUCCCACCCUGCAAUACUUCAAAUUGUUUCACCUUUUUUGACAGAACCAAGGUAUAUCUUAAAUGUACUUGAUUGAUGUCUCAUGUCUCCCUAAAAUGUAUAAAACCAAACUGUGCUCUGACUACCUUGGGUACAUGUUCUGAGGGUCUCCUGAAGGCUGUGUCACAGGCCAUGGUCUUUCAUAUUUGGCUUAAAACAAAUCUCUUCAAAUAUUUUAUGUAGUUUGACUCUUUUCCUCAAUAGAACUCAUCAUUUAACCAGUUAAGUAUUUUGAGUUAGUUUGGGAUUAAACACGAGAGUUUUGACAGGGAGCUGAAACAAUAGUAGUUUCAUCAAAAGUUGAUUCUUGGUGCAUGUAAUUUUCUAUUACAGUGAACACAGAUAAUAAUGAUGCAUAUGUCUUUACCUAGAUUAGAGAAAGGAAGAGAAAAAAUAAAAAUUUUGGAAAUGAGAUAAAAAGAUAUUGAUCUCACUGAUGUUUCUGAAUCUAAGACUGAACUCAAUUAUUAGUUGUAUUUACUGCUUAUUAGAUUUACUAAGAAAGUUCUUUAAGGUACUUACAGCCCUAAAAUUAUUUGCAAUAUUCAAUAGCAAGGGACUUAAAUACAGUCCUGAUUACUCCAUCACAAAAUGCCAAAAACAAUUAGGAUCUUAAAGGAACUACCCAAAUAGGUUUAAGAUAUCACUCAGGCCAUAAAAAUGUUUUUAAAAUUCACAUCACAAAAUAGCCAAAUGACAUAUCAGAAACAAAAGCAAAAAAGUCAUCCUAAUUCAAGGCAAUUACUUUAGCAAUUCAAAAUAAAAUGUUAAAAGUGACCAAAAAACAAAUGCAAAAUAUUUUAAUGACUUUAAAUGGCUGUAUAAUUUCCUCAUCACUUCACUUGGCAGAGUUAAGAUGGCAUUUAACCUAAGUUCACAUCAUUAAAAAAAACACUGCACCAUGAUGCUUUUCUUAAUAUGCAUUCUCAAAUUAGCAUACAGAGAAAAAUGAAACUAUAGUAGAGACGUAAAUUUAAUCCCUAUUUAGGUCACUAGGCAUUUAUUAGCCCCACCACAGGUUAAUACACUUGCAUUUGCAUCUGUUUCUAAAUGCUAAUUAUCUGACCUCAGAACACUCACUUAUGGGCUUCAUUUAUUGAAAAACAAAUCCCUAUGAUUUGAUCGUAGAGUAACUUUUAAUGUCUAACUUUACGUAGUAUAUUACAGUUUUCAAAACAUUUUUAUAAAAAGUAUUUUGUUUAUUUACAGCAACUAUAUAUCAUAGAUAUUAAUGUGUAUAUUUUGCAUUUAAGCAAGUUGGAGUUCGUAAGGUUGAAUUACUUGAAAUGUACAAAUAGAUAGUAGUGAAUAUUUAAAGUACAUUUUUAAAAAUAUGACCCAGAAAAAUAGGUGGCAUUUAAGAAAUAUAAGCAUGGUAUCUAUCUUACAUGUAUAUUAGGAGUGGACAGUUUUCUAAGAUUAGAAGCAAACAGUUGUCAAGCAAGGGUUCUAAUUUUUGUAAGUCUUGUGGGAAAGAAAGAUAAUAGAGGGUUUCAUUGCAAAGAUAUAAAACUACUCUAGAUAAUUUAAGCAAAAACUAAUCUAAUAAAUUGGGUUUUCCAAAUUAUUGAAACACCUUGAGAACUAGUGCCUGGGUAGGCCUGGAGAAAUGACUCCAGGAACAGCAUUACAGAACUCACCUGCCCAGUGGUAACAGUGCCCAGAUUGCUCUUCUCCAUUAUCCAGCCAGAGUUCCAGAUCAGCCUGAAUACUUCACCUCUGGGAAGACUUUGCAGAACCUCCAGAUUUAUGCCACCUCUAUAACCUGUGUAAUAUUAUUACAAUGCAUAUUAUGUUCUAUUUCACUUACAGUCAGCCCUCCUUAUCUGUGGGUUCCACAAACAUGGAUUCAACCCACAGUAAAAUGAAAAUAUUUGGGGAAAAAAUUAAUGUUUGAGUCUGUAUUGAACACGUAGACUUUUUCUUGUCACUGUUCCCUAAACAAUACAGUAUAACAACUAUUUACAUAGUAUUUACAUUAUAUUGGGCAUUAUAAGUAAUUAAAGAUGAUUUAAGUAUAUGGAAAGAUGUAUAUAGGUUAUAUGCAAGUACUGUGCCAUUUUAUAUAAAGCACUUGAACAUCACAGAUUUUGGUAUCAAUGAGGGGUGCUGAAACCAAUUGCCCAUGGAUACCAAGAGACAGCUAUAUUUGUUUCAAUGUGUACCUCUCCUUCUAAACUCAGUUCUUAAGCAUAUAGUAUCUUUAUAGCUAUACACCUAGUGUCUAUCAGACCCUAAACUAUGGUAGGCCCUCAAUACAUUUUAUUGUUAUAGGUAGAUAGAUAGGCAUGAGUAGGGCAGGAGAGGGCUCUCCCUCCACCCACUAGAAAUGUCAAGUGAUGUUUUAAAAAUUGUCACACUGCCUCUCAGAAAAUGAUAAUUCAGCAACCGGGGAGAGACAAUCUUCUGAUGGUCCACACCUAUUAACAUUAAAGUGUUAUUAAAGGCAGACCCCAGAAAGAAGAAACUUACUGGGCAUGCACAUUAAGAGAUAAAAACGGCAAAAUAUUAUCUUCCACGUACCCACAACUGGAAAAAAGGAAGAAAGCUUCAGGUGGGCAUAUGUACUCUUCCUAAACACACUGCGCAUGCUCACUUCCCAACUGUAGAGAGGGCUCUGCACAUACGGGAAGAAUCUCGGGAAAGAGGUGAACCUAUAAAAGGCCAAGAAUCAUGGUUGAACGGGACAUUUGACCUUCUCUCUUAAACCUUCAUGUGCCUGCUUGGGUCUCUUCCAACUGCACCUUCCUUUCUUUCCUGUUCUAAGGCCUUUUUAAAUAAACUUCCACUCAUGCUCUG